Molecule: ribosomal RNA, 497 nt
Filed under: uncultured bacterium
Lineage: Bacteria
Description: partial 16S ribosomal RNA
Rfam family: Bacterial small subunit ribosomal RNA
Source: RNAcentral
GAUGAACGCUGGCGGCGUGCCUAAUACAUGCAAGUCGAGCGAACGGACGAGAAGCUUGCUUCUCUGAUGUUAGCGGCGGACGGGUGAGUAACACGUGGAUAACCUACCUAUAAGACUGGGAUAACUUCGGGAAACCGUAGCUAAUACCGGAUAAUAUUUUGAACCGCAUGGUUCAAAAGUGAAAGACGGUCUUGCUGUCACUUAUAGAUGGAUCCGCGCUGCAUUAGCUAGUUGGUAAGGUAACGGCUUACCAAGGCAACGAUGCAUAGCCGACCUGAGAGGGUGAUCGGCCACACUGGAACUGAGACACGGUCCAGACUCCUACGGGAGGCAGCAGUAGGGAAUCUUCCGCAAUGGGCGAAAGCCUGACGGAGCAACGCCGCGUGAGUGAUGAAGGUCUUCGGAUCGUAAAACUCUGUUAUUAGGGAAGAACAUACGUGUAAGUAGCUGUGCACAUCUUGACGGUACCUAAUCAGAAAGCCACGGCUAACUACGUG